This is an RNA transcript of Andrographis paniculata, 2903 nucleotides long. It is a transcript of the gene named oxysterol-binding protein-related protein 2A-like, with no coding region annotated. The record is from RefSeq and is a predicted model, not a curated record. Lineage: Eukaryota; Viridiplantae; Streptophyta; Magnoliopsida; Lamiales; Acanthaceae. The transcript has 12 exons.
CUACAUACAAACCCAAACCAAAUUAUUCAACGCCCAAAGACACCCCCCAACUCUUCUUCUACCUCCCUUUCUUUCACUAAUUUCACACCCCUUCUCUCUCUCUCUCUCUAUAUAUAUAUAUAUAUACACGAAUUGUGUCUAAUUAAUCUAGCGUGAGUGUGUGUAUUUCCGUGUUGCAUCGGAAUUGCUACAAAAUGUGGAGAUCACGUUCUUGAUCCUCGAUUCAUAACACUCUCUCUCUCCCCCCUCUCUCUCUCUCUCUAAAUAUAUAUAUAAAAACAAGAUUUGUAUCUAUAAUUAAUUUUCCCACGCGCCAUGCGGGUGAAGGAGAUGCACCCGCUCUGCUGCAUAACCCUCGAGACUCACGUCGCCGGCGCCGCCGGCGCCGGCGACGCCUCCCCGGAACCCAUCCUCCUCCGCACCGGCUCCGCCGUCAAUCUCUUCGACAGCGGAUCUGACCCCGCCGCCAAUUCCGACGCCGGCGCCACCACCGUCGCCGGAAUCCUCUACAAGUGGACCAACUACGGCAAGGGCUGGCGAUCCCGCUGGUUCACCUUACGCGACAACGGUGUCCUCUCCUACUCCAAAACCUCCCGCCGCCGCUCCGCCGCCGCUCUCCCCGCCGCCGCCGCCGCCGAUCUCCGCCGGAAACACGCGAAAACCGCCGGCAUUGUCCAUCUGAAGAUAUCCUCUUUUCGCGAGAGUAAAUCCGAUGAUCGGAGGUUUUACAUAUUUACCGCGACAAAGACGCUUCAUUUAAGGACGAACUCCAAGAAAGAAAGAGCGGCGUGGAUAGAGGCUUUAAUUUCGACAAGAAGCCUUUUCUCACUAAGACCACAAACUGACGAAGAAAAUCCUCUUCUAACUAGAAAUUUGUCGAUUUCCACCGAUCGAUUGAAGCACCGUUUGCUCGACGAAGGAGUCGAUGAAGAGGUCGUUAAAGAUUGCGAGCAAAUCAUGCUCUCGGAGUUUUCUGGCAUACAAGGACAGUAUCGAGCUCUUUGCCAAGAACGAUCCAAUUUAUUGGAUACAUUGAAGCAAUUAGAGGCUGCAAAUAUCGAAGGCGAAACAUCUGGAAUCAACGAUGGCGAGUUCCAAUUAAUGAAGCACGGAUAUACAAAUGUAGCGCGGGGGAAAUACGGUGAGUGGAGCACAACCGAAUCGUCGGAUGAGAUCGAAAAGCAAGAGCUCGAGGAAGCGUCCGACAGCGAGGAGACCCAUUUUUUUGACACAAAUGAGUGUUUUCCCGAUCCGGGAUCAGCCGUCGUAAAUUGCAUGGAUAGUUGUCAGAAAUUGGAAAGUCCGAGUAACGAGUCGAAAAGAAUCGACGCGUACCCCUGUAUUAAAAGGCGGACGAAGUUGCCGGAUCCCGUCGAGAAGGAGAAAGGCGUAAGUCUAUGGUCAAUGAUCAAGGACAACAUUGGUAAGGAUUUGACGAGGGUCUGUCUCCCCGUGUACUUCAACGAACCGAUAUCGUCGCUGCAAAAAUGUUUCGAAGAGUUAGAGUAUUCACAUCUUUUGGAUCAGGCUUACGAGCAUGGCAAAAUGGGGAACGGUCUUAUGAGGAUAUUAAACGUCGCCGCUUUUGCGGUCUCCGGAUAUGCUUCGUCGGAAGGUCGCCAUUGUAAGCCGUUCAAUCCAUUACUCGGCGAAACAUACGAAGCUGAUUACCCUGAGAAAGGGCUUCGAUUCUUCGCCGAAAAGGUCAGUCACCACCCGACGCUCAUUGCUUGUCAUUGCGAAGGUAAAGGUUGGAAAUUUUGGUGCGACACAAACCUUAAGUCGAAAUUUUGGGGAAGAUCGAUACAGGUAGACCCGGUCGGAACUCUUAAUUUGGAGUUCGACGACGGCGAAGUCUUCCAAUGGAGCAAGGUCACAACGAGCAUCAAUAAUUUAAUCCUCGGAACGAUAUAUUGCCACCACCAUGGAACCAUGCACAUACGAGGGAAUCGACAAUACUCGUGCAAGCUCAAGUUCAAGGAGCUGUCGAUUCUCGAGCGCAAUCCGCGGCAGGUGAACGGAUUUGUGGAAGAUGAAAUGGGGCAUAAGGUCGCGCAAUUAUUCGGAAAGUGGGACGAAAGUAUGUAUUUUGUACACGGAGAGGGAACUAGCGGCGCAAAAGAUGGGCCCGAGGCGUCGAUCUUGUGGAAAAGGAAUAUGCCACCCGUAAACCUCACCCGUUAUAACUUAACGUCGUUCGCCAUUACGCUUAAUGAAUUGGUGCCGGGACUCAAGGAGAAGCUCCCGCCGACUGAUUCGAGGCUUCGACCCGAUCAACGGUUUUUAGAAAAUGGCGAAUUCGAGAAGGCAAAUGAAGAGAAGCUCCGGCUCGAGACGAGACAGAGAAUGUCUAGGAAAUUGCAAGAAGAUGGUUGGAAACCUCGAUGGUUCCGAAGAGACGGCGAAGGACCCUUUUAUUACAUUGGCGGAUAUUGGGAAGCCCGGGAACAAGGAAAAUGGGAUGGAUGCCCGGACAUUUUUGGCGAAAUCUUACAAUGCUCUUGACCUCAAAAUAAUAGGACUAAAAAAGUCUCGGCCGAGGAUUGGAAGGUGCGCUAUCUACUAUAAGCCUCGACAGAUGUAGGAAGUUCCGGGCUCUUUAUGAUAGAGCGCCGUUUGCAAUGAAAAUGGAAUUGAAGUGAAUAUAUUGGGCUGAGGAGAUCUACGCGGAUAAUGCAGCCAUCCCCAACCAGACCGACGAGCAAAGCAAUGUUCUUCGUGUUCUAGAGAAAUUUGGACAUAGCUUAUUUAGAAGUCUCCGGAACCAGCACCUCUAGGUGAUGAGUUCAAGUGAUGAGUUCUUGAUGUUUCAAUUCGAUACCCCAAACAAACCUAUAUCCAAAAAAGGCUAGAGAAAGAAAAGAUGUCCGAAUCAUUUAAAAAAGAUGUUGAAACUCCUUAAU